AUCCAGCUUACGAGAACCAAAUAGGACGAAACGCACGUCCUGGAU
Schistosoma mattheei is the source of this 45-nucleotide non-coding RNA. The record is from Rfam. NCBI's taxonomy places the organism in Eukaryota, Metazoa, Platyhelminthes, Trematoda, Strigeidida, Schistosomatidae.